CAAUAAGCGGAGGAAAAGAAACCAACAGGGAUUGCCCUAGUAACGGCGAGUGAAGCGGCAACAGCUCAAAUUUGAAAUCUGGCCCUCGGGUCCGAGUUGUAAUUUGUAGAGGAUGCUUUUGGUGCGGUGCCUUCCGAGUUCCCUGGAACGGGACGCCAUAGAGGGUGAGAGCCCCGUCUGGUUGGACACCAAGCCUCUGUAAAGCUCCUUCGACGAGUCGAGUAGUUUGGGAAUGCUGCUCUAAAUGGGAGGUAUAUGUCUUCUAAAGCUAAAUACCGGCCAGAGACCGAUAGCGCACAAGUAGAGUGAUCGAAAGAUGAAAAGCACUUUGAAAAGAGGGUUAAAUAGUACGUGAAAUUGUUGAAAGGGAAGCGCUUGUGACCAGACUUGAGCCCGGUUAAUCAUCCAGCCUUCUGGCUGGUGCACUUGGCCGGCUCAGGCCAGCAUCAGUUCGGCGUGGGGGAUAAAGGCUUCGGGAAUGUGGCUCCUCCGGGAGUGUUAUAGCCCGUUGCGUAAUACCCUGUACUGGACUGAGGUUCGCGCAUCUGCAAGGAUGCUGGCGUAAUGGUCAUCAGCGACCCGUCUUGAAACACGGACCAAGGAGUCGUCUUCGUAUGCGAGUGUUCGGGUGUCAAACCCCUACGCGUAAUGAAAGUGAACGCAGGUGAGAGCUUCGGCGCAUCAUCGACCGAUCCUGAUGUUCUCGGACGGAUUUGAGUAAGAGCAUACGGGGCCGGACCCGAAAGAAGGUGAACUAUGCCUGUAUAGGGUGAAGCCAGAGGAAACUCUGGUGGAGGCUCGCAGCGGUUCUGACGUGCAAAUCGAUCGUCAAAUAUGGGCAUGGGGGCGAAAGACUAAUCGAACCUUCUAGUAGCUGGUUUCCGCCGAAGUUUCCCUCAGGAUAGCAGUGUUGAACUCAGUUUUAUGAGGUAAAGCGAAUGAUUAGGGACUCGGGGG
RNAcentral lists this ribosomal RNA (957 nucleotides) under Pseudocosmospora vilior. Its description in RNAcentral is "LSU rRNA". It matches the Rfam family "Eukaryotic large subunit ribosomal RNA", at positions 44 to 1035 of the family's 3401-position model. Lineage: Eukaryota; Fungi; Ascomycota; Sordariomycetes; Hypocreales; Nectriaceae. The record is from RNAcentral.